UCAAGCGACUAAGUGCAUAUGGUGGAUGCCUUGGCGAUCACAGGCGAUGAAGGACGUAGUAGCCUGCGAAAAGCUGCGGGGAGCUGGCAAACAAGCAUUGAUCCGCAGAUAUCCGAAUGGGGAAACCCACCGCGCAAGCGGUAUCCCUGGCUGAAUACAUAGGCCAGUGGAGGCGAACCGGGUGAACUGAAACAUCUCAGUAGCUCGAGGAAAAGAAAUCAACCGAGAUUCCGAAAGUAGUGGCGAGCGAAAUCGGAAGAGCCUUUACGAUUUAGCAUUUUGCAUAGUCGAACGGAAUGGAAAGUCCGGCCGUAGCAGGUGAUAGCCCUGUAGACGAAAUGCAGAGUGUGGAACUAGGCGUAAGAGAAGUAGGGCGGGACACGUGAAAUCCUGUCUGAAGAUGGGGGGACCAUCCUCCAAGGCUAAAUACUCGUGAUCGACCGAUAGUGAACCAGUACCGUGAGGGAAAGGCGAAAAGAACCCCGGAAGGGGAGUGAAAUAGAUCCUGAAACCGUAUGCAUACAAACAGUCGGAGCCUCUUUAUGGGGUGACGGCGUACCUUUUGUAUAAUGGGUCAGCGACUUACAUUCAGUGGCGAGCUUAACCGAAUAGGGAAGGCGUAGCGAAAGCGAGUCCGAAUAGGGCGUCCAGUCGCUGGGUGUAGACCCGAAACCAGAUGAUCUACCCAUGGCCAGGUUGAAGGCACGGUAACACGUGCUGGAGGACCGAACCCACUAGUGUUGAAAAACUAGGGGAUGAGCUGUGGAUAGGGGUGAAAGGCUAAACAAAUCUGGAAAUAGCUGGUUCUCUCCGAAAACUAUUUAGGUAGUGCCUCAAGUAUUACUGCAGGGGGUAGAGCACUGUUAUGGCUAGGGGGUCAUGGCGACUUACCAAACCAUGGCAAACUCCGAAUACCUGCAAGUACAGCUUGGGAGACAGAGCACCGGGUGCUAACGUCCGGACUCAAGAGGGAAACAACCCAGACCGCCAGCUAAGGUCCCGAAUUAUCGCUAAGUGGGAAACGAAGUGGGAAGGCAUAGACAGUCAGGAGGUUGGCUUAGAAGCAGCCACCCUUUAAAGAAAGCGUAAUAGCUCACUGAUCGAGUCGUCCUGCGCGGAAGAUGUAACGGGGCUAAGCGAUAAACCGAAGCUGCGGGUGUGCACUUUUAGUGCACGCGGUAGGAGAGCGUUCUGUAAGCCUGCGAAGGUGGCUUGUAAAGGCUGCUGGAGGUAUCAGAAGUGCGAAUGCUGACAUGAGUAGCGAUAAAGGGGGUGAAAAGCCCCCUCGCCGUAAGUCCAAGGUUUCCUGCGCAACGUUCAUCGGCGCAGGGUGAGUCGGCCCCUAAGGCGAGGCAGAGAUGCGUAGCUGAUGGGAAGCUGGUUAAUAUUCCAGCACCGUCGUACAGUGCGAUGGGGGGACGGAUCGCGGAAGGUCAUCAGGGUGUUGGACGUCCCUGUUGCUGCAUUGAAGAUGGCGCUUAGGCAAAUCCGGGCGCGAGAAUCAAGGGUGUGGCACGAGCGAGCAAGUCUCGCGAAGUGAUUGGAAGUGGUUCCAAGAAAAGCCUCUAAGCUUCAGCUGUACGAGACCGUACCGCAAACCGACACAGGUGGACGGGAUGAAUAUUCCAAGGCGCUUGAGAGAACUCAGGAGAAGGAACUCGGCAAAUUGAUACCGUAACUUCGGGAGAAGGUAUACCCUGGUAGUGUGAAGCGCCUGCGCGCUGAGCAUGAAGGGGUCGCAGAGAAUCGGUGGCUGCGACUGUUUAUUAAAAACACAGCACUCUGCAAAGACGAAAGUCGACGUAUAGGGUGUGACGCCUGCCCGGUGCCGGAAGGUUAAGUGAUGGGGUGCAAGCUCUUGAUCGAAGCCCCGGUAAACGGCGGCCGUAACUAUAACGGUCCUAAGGUAGCGAAAUUCCUUGUCGGGUAAGUUCCGACCUGCACGAAUGGCGUAACGAUGGCCACACUGUCUCCUCCUGAGACUCAGCGAAGUUGAAGUGUUUGUGAUGAUGCAAUCUACCCGCGGCUAGACGGAAAGACCC
RNAcentral lists this ribosomal RNA (2042 nucleotides) under Bordetella bronchiseptica. RNAcentral describes it as "bacterial LSU rRNA". It matches the Rfam family "Bacterial large subunit ribosomal RNA", at positions 3 to 2091 of the family's 2925-position model. Lineage: Bacteria; Pseudomonadati; Pseudomonadota; Betaproteobacteria; Burkholderiales; Alcaligenaceae. The record is from RNAcentral.